Suricata suricatta (meerkat) is the source of this 3553-nucleotide long non-coding RNA. Lineage: Eukaryota; Metazoa; Chordata; Mammalia; Carnivora; Herpestidae. The record is from Ensembl.
CAGCAAUAAUUACACUCCUUCUUUCUGAUAAACAGGUCUCCUUGUAUCGAAACCAGACCUGGUCAUCUUUUUGGAGCACGAGAAGGAGCUGUGGGGUGUGAAGAGACAGGAGACAGUAGCCUCACACCCAGAAAUCACCUACCGCCCUGACCAGAGUUUGCGCAGCCACCUGUAGACUGCCAAGAUGAAAGAAAAGAAAGUCCCGUGCAGACGCUUACUCUCUGUCAGUUGUCAGCAGGACUUCACAUCUUCAAAGUCACAGUUUCCAGGGAUGAAGCCCCGGAGAAGGAUUCACAGAUGUCACCACGAAGCCAGACGCCCCAGUGGUGGAAACAGAGAAUAUGGACGAGGCUGUGGCCACCGUGAGCGGGCUUCAGGUGGGCACGCACCACUUCCUCCUGAAGGGGACAGAUCAGCGGGGCCUGAGCAGCGCCAUCAUGGUCACCAUGGCCAGGGAGAGGGUGAGUGUAGAGCCUCAGAGCUGGAAAACGCUCUGCUUUUCAGCCUCAGGAGACUCUAAACAGGCCUUGAUUGUUCGGAAAUACUGGUGCUCCCUCAUUCCCAGCAGAUACUGAGCCUGAACCCAUGUCGGACACUUAACGGACUGAGCCAUCCAGGCGCCCCUAGUUAGGCCUCUCUAAUGUCAACCCAUAAUCUAUUUGAAUUGGAUAACAGAGGGGGAGGAGGUGGUCUGGAGGGCAGCUCCCUGAUUUCACCUAUUUGUUUAAGUGAAGUUUCUUUAGCCUGUAUGGGAAAUGUCCAAUUUUUCUUUCUAUAGUCAUUGGCUGUUGUUUCCGAAUUGCCCUUAUCCUUUAUGGGGGAGAGGCCAUCUAUCCUGUCCUUUUUCGUCUAUGUCGUUAGGAAUAUUAUUUUGGGAGUGACAGGGAAAGUACAAUCUUUCUCAGUUUUAGCCAAUCUACCUACUUCUAACUGGAGAUCCAAACCUUCCCAUAUGAAGUUACAUAGUGAAUGGAUAUUACCGGGAUUUUUUGGGCCCCUUAAGCUAAAAUACUGUUUUAUUUAAUCUCCUACCUUAUUCCAAGUCAAUGCAUUAACAGUUCCUUUCUCUGGGAAUCAUGGACAUCACUUUUGUACAAAACAUAAAAAACAUGCAACUUGCUGGGGCGGUAUCUUGACCCCUUCUUUGAAAGCAGGCUUUGAGUCACGUCUAUAGAGUCUGCUUUCUUUAGAUUCCUAUGGCCCAUAGCUUCUCAAGUUCUGAUCCUAUGGACCACUGUAACCUUGCCUACCUCUACAGAGGGGUUUGCAGCCCCCUAUGGUGGAGUCCUAACUGUCCCGAAAAAUCAAAGGAGAAAGGGAAAGGGCUUACCUUCAGCUCCAUGUUUGGGUGCCACUUGUCAGAGUCCAGCUCCAGCAAGUCCAGAGAUUCCUGAUGGAUGGCUGGUGUCAGCGAGAGACAGAGACAGAGAGAGAGAGAGAGAGAGAGAGAGAGAGAGAGAGAGAGCGCGCCUCCAGUUUCUUUCUGAUAACCAGACGGCAUCUCUGCACUGACCUGAGAGCCAUCUUUAUUUAUGGAAAAAAAAAUGUAUGGUGCCAGGAUAGAAGUGGCAUUUGCCUUAGACAACGAUUUCUGAUGACAAAUUCUUUGGCAUGUAAAAAAUUCCCAGAACAUAGAUUGGUAGAAGACUGAUGCAGAUGUCUGAUCAGUAGAUAUUGAUGUAGGUGAGUUGGAUGUUUAUAAUAUGGGGAAUGAAGAAUUCAAACACAAGGCAAUGUUUUGUUAAUCCUCCCUUUCGGGGGUGCAUCACCGAGAAUAGAAUCCACAAGAAACUGGAGUUGAUUACUUGGGUUUUAUUUUAGUUUGGCCCCUUCUGAGCUCUUGAGAGUCCCUGGAAGAGAGCCCCGCCAAGCCAGAGCUCAGGGUUAUAAAGGGUUUUGGCAAGACAAAAUAAGUGAUUCUGUUACUAACUAAUUACAAUUACAGCAUUUCAUUAUAGCCAAUUAUAUUACAACACACAACCAUUAGCUGUUGGCUGAUCCUAUUAUUUUAAAGUUCUUUAUCUCUUAAAAUGACCAAUCAUAGUUAGAAAGCGACAUACCCCGGGGCAGUAACUAGGUGACUUUCACCUGUUGACCUUGCCUUGGCCAGGUCUUAGUAAAGGGGUGGGGUUGCUUAACAGCAUCUUAAACAAGUUAGCCUUUAGGUUACAUCAAUAGUUGCACCUUAGUGGCUUUGCAGAGCCUGUUGUAGGAUAGCAAACUGAGUAAAAUAUGGAAAAUCAUUUAAAAAAAUUUUUUUAAUGUUUUAUUUAUUUUUUAUACAGAGAGAGACAGAGCAUGAGAGGGGGCAGAGAGAGAAGGAGACACAGAACCGGAAGCAGGCUCCCGGUUCUCAGCUAGCUGUCAGCACAGAGCCAGACAUGGGGCUUGAACCCACGAACGUGAGAUCUGACCUGAGCUGAAGUCGGAGGCUUAACCGACUGAGCUACCCAGGCGCCCCAGAAUUGAAAAUCAUUAACUUGCUGUUUUGGCUUCUGUAAAUUGCUUUGCAAAUGUUUCUCUCUGUUCACUGUUCAACUAUGUGGUGUGGUGACCACUACGUGGCUCUCUGUUGAAAUUAUUGGAAUGUGCUAACCUAGCCUAUUAAUUUGCCUGCUUUCUAAACAGACAACUUAGGUCAUAAUUUGCAUGCCCGCCCCCCUGUUUGAAGCUGAGGAGACAAAGCAUACAUGUGGAAAGUCACCUAUUCACUAUCUCACAGAACCUGGAGUGCCUAACUACAAUUGGUCAUUUCAAAACCCUCUUAAGUCAAAGAACUUUAAAACUGAUAGGGUCCCGCCAGAACUACUGUCUGUUUGUUAAAAUGUGACUGGAUAUCCUGCAAUGCUGCAAACUUAUUUGGUUAACUAAAUGAUGAUGUUUGCAGCCUUGCUAAAGUCAAUAUAAGCUCACUGCUACCUUUGUUGGGGGCCAUUCUCUGCUCCUUAACCAGGGAGAUCAGGUUUGGCUCGGCGGUAAAUAAAAUCUUGCCUCGCUUCUGUUGGGUGUUUGGUGGUCUUUAUCAUCACCCUGUUACAAGCCCAAUCGCUCAACCUUUAAUUAUUAACCAAGGUUGGAGAGUAAAACAAUGUGUUUUUGGUUUGGUUUUUUUUUUUUCACCAUAAGGGUCAAUCUGACCCAAGGGGGUCUUACACUUUUUAGCAUAGCAAAGGCAGAAGUUGGUUUUUGUGAGCAGGGUCAAUAGCUUGUUUUCUUGAGCGGAAGAAAAAUAGAUUUCUCAGGAAAUAUAAUACUUGAUUCCAUAAACACAAAAGAAGAAAUUCCUAUAAUAAGUUCCUUCACAAGGUACAAUUAGCAUAUUUUAAGAUAAGAGGACAAGUCACUCCGAUACCAGUCAGCCAGGUGCCUUGGGGGUUUGUGCUCCAGCAAAAAUAAUUGAGUGGGGCAUAGACAUCUAUCCCAUCUGGCGGCGGGACGCCUUGCAAUCCCGCCUUACCUCACAAGGAGUUUCCUCAUCUUUGGAGUUCAGAAUGGCUUCUUACACUAGGUCCCCUGUAGCUGGGAGGUGGCCCCGCGGGGACCCAAGUUCCAG